CGCGCGAUACAGGGUGACAGCCCCGUACACAAAAAUGCACAUGCUGUGAGCUCGAUGAGUAGGGCGGGACACGUGGUAUCCUGUCUGAAUAUGGGGGGACCAUCCUCCAAGGCUAAAUACUCCUGACUGACCGAUAGUGAACCAGUACCGUGAGGGAAAGGCGAAAAGAACCCCGGCGAGGGGAGUGAAAAAGAACCUGAAACCGUGUACGUACAAGCAGUGGGAGCACAGAGCAAUCUGUGUGACUGCGUACCUUUUGUAUAAUGGGUCAGCGACUUAUAUUCUGUAGCAAGGUUAACCGAAUAGGGGAGCCGAAGGGAAACCGAGUCUUAACUGGGCGUUAAGUUGCAGGGUAUAGACCCGAAACCCGGUGAUCUAGCCAUGGGCAGGUUGAAGGUUGGGUAACACUAACUGGAGGACCGAACCGACUAAUGUUGAAAAAUUAGCGGAUGACUUGUGGCUGGGGGUGAAAGGCCAAUCAAACCGGGAGAUAGCUGGUUCUCCCCGAAAGCUAUUUAGGUAGCGCCUCGUGAAUUCAUCUCCGGGGGUAGAGCACUGUUUCGGCAAGGGGGUCAUCCCGACUUACCAACCCGAUGCAAACUGCGAAUACCGGAGAAUGUUAUCACGGGAGACACACGGCGGGUGCUAACGUCCGUCGUGAAGAGGGAAACAACCCAGACCGCCAGCUAAGGUCCCAAAGUCAUGGUUAAGUGGGAAACGAUGUGGGAAGGCCCAGACAGCCAGGAUGUUGGCUUAGAAGCAGCCAUCAUUUAAAGAAAGCGUAAUAGCUCACUGGUCGAGUCGGCCUGCGCGGAAGAUGUAACGGGGCUAAACCAUGCACCGAAGCUGCGGCAGCGACACUAUGUGUUGUUGGGUAGGGGAGCGU
Molecule: ribosomal RNA, 886 nt
Filed under: Escherichia coli
Lineage: Bacteria; Pseudomonadati; Pseudomonadota; Gammaproteobacteria; Enterobacterales; Enterobacteriaceae
Description: partial 23S ribosomal RNA
Rfam family: Bacterial large subunit ribosomal RNA
Source: RNAcentral